RNAcentral lists this long non-coding RNA (767 nucleotides) under Sus scrofa (pig). RNAcentral describes it as "lncRNA (ENSSSCG00055002728.1)". Lineage: Eukaryota; Metazoa; Chordata; Mammalia; Artiodactyla; Suidae. The record is from RNAcentral.
CAGCUCCUGUCACCCUUCCCCUUCACUGAAAGCUUCUCAUUGGCUUUCUGCUGCCUGGAGUGUAAAUUCUGAAUGCCUUAGCUCAUCAUAGGAGGCCUUGUAGAGUCUGCUUCAUGCCUGCUGCCCUAGUCUUAUUGCUUAUCAGCCUGCCCCCCGGCCCCCAUACAGCCUAAGCUCCAGCCACAGUGAUGUCCUCACCAUUGCCUCAUGCUCUGGUCUUCCGGGAUUCCAGCCUCAACAUGCACGUCUUCAUCACAUUUGUCCAGCUGAAGUACAGCAGUGCUGUUUGGGUGAUUGUUGCUCUGUGAUGCCAAGCUGUUUUAGAAAAAUGUCAUGAUGCCUGGUCACACCUACUACCGCAGAGACAAGCCCAGAAGUUAAAUUAGGAAGCAAACGUAAGCUUUGAAGAACUUUUUAUUUAAUCUGUAUUCCCCUGUUUCAUCUGCACAUCCAUCCAGCACAAUCUGCAUCAUUAUUAGCCACAUCAACUCGCUAAAAAAAGGGGGGGGGGUAAAAAGUAAGACAUCUGUGUUAUAGCAUUAAUAUAUUCAAAGGUUUUUACUUUCAUCUUGCAGGCAUUAACAGGGUGUAAAUGCAAUAUAAGCGCAAUUUACAACAGCACUAAGUUAGCAGAAGAAAAAACGUACUUGGGAGUCACGCAAAAGAAGGGAGCCUGCAAAAAGAAAAAAAAAAAAAGCAAAGUUGAUAAUUCCACUGCCGUCCUUUGCGGGGGUGAUCCUGAGGAUCAAAGGCGAUGCUGUUUGUGA